RNAcentral lists this ribosomal RNA (433 nucleotides) under uncultured bacterium. RNAcentral describes it as "partial 16S ribosomal RNA". It matches the Rfam family "Bacterial small subunit ribosomal RNA", at positions 29 to 507 of the family's 1533-position model. The record is from RNAcentral.
AACGAACGCUGGCGGCAUGCCUAACACAUGCAAGUCGAACGAGACCUUCGGGUCUAGUGGCGCACGGGUGCGUAACGCGUGGGAACCUGCCCUUAGGUUCGGAAUAACUCCCCGAAAGGGGUGCUAAUACCGGAUAAUGUCUUCGGACCAAAGAUUUAUCGCCUUUGGAUGGGCCCGCGUUGGAUUAGGUAGUUGGUAGGGUAAAAGCCUACCAAGGCGACGAUGCAUAGCUGGUCUGAGAGGAUGAUCAGCCACACUGGGACUGAGACACGGCCCAGACUCCUACGGGAGGCAGCAGUGGGGAAUAUUGGACAAUGGGCGAAAGCCUGAUCCAGCAAUGCCGCGUGAGUGAUGAAGGCCUUAGGGUUGUAAAGCUCUUUUACCCGGGAUGAUAAUGACAGUACCGGGAGAAUAAGCUCCGGCUAACUCCGUG